Molecule: ribosomal RNA, 254 nt
Filed under: uncultured bacterium
Lineage: Bacteria
Description: partial 16S ribosomal RNA
Rfam family: Bacterial small subunit ribosomal RNA
Source: RNAcentral
GACAAACCGUGCGAACGUUAUUCGGAAUCACUGGGCUUAAAGCGCGUGUAGGCGGGACGGCACGUCGGUCGCUGAAAGCCCCCGGCUCAACCGGGGAACGGGCGCCGAUACGACCGUCCUGGAGGGACGUAGGGGGACCUGGAACAUCCGGUGGAGCGGUGAAAUGCGUUGAGAUCGGAUGGAACGCCCGUGGCGAAAGCGAGGUCCUGGACGUUUUCUGACGCUGAGACGCGAAAGCCAGGGGAGCGAACGGG